AUCCAGAUGACGAGUACCAAAUAGGACGAGACGCGUGUCCUGGAU
Molecule: non-coding RNA, 45 nt
Filed under: Schistosoma mansoni
Lineage: Eukaryota; Metazoa; Platyhelminthes; Trematoda; Strigeidida; Schistosomatidae
Source: RNAcentral